CCUACGGGUGGCAGCAGUCGAGAAUCAUUCUCAAUGGAGGAAACCCUGAUGGUGCGACGCCGCGUGGGGGAAUGCAGGUCUUCGGAUUGUAAACCCCUGUCAUGUGGGAGCAAAUUGAAAAGAUAGUACCACAAGAGGAAGAGACUGCUAACUCUGUGCCAGCAGCCGCGGUAAUACAGAGGUCUCAAGCGUUGUUCGGAAUCACUGGGCGUAAAGCGUGCGUAGGCUGUUUCGUAAGUCGUGUGUGAAAGGUGGGGGCUCAACCCGCGGAGUGCACAUGAUACUGCGAGACUAGAGUAAAGGUGAGGGAAGCGGAAUUCGCGGUGUAGCAGUGAAAUGCGUAGAUAUCGAGAGGAACACUCGUGGCGAAGGCGGGUUCCUGGACAUUAACUGACGCUGAGGCACGAAGGCCAGGGUAGCGAAAGGGAUUAGAUACCCCAGUAGUC
Molecule: ribosomal RNA, 446 nt
Filed under: uncultured bacterium
Lineage: Bacteria
Description: partial 16S ribosomal RNA
Rfam family: Bacterial small subunit ribosomal RNA
Source: RNAcentral